CAAGAUGUAGCAAUACAUUGUUGACGACCGGCGCACGGGUGAGUAACGCGUAUGUAACCUACCUUCUACAGGGGAAUAGCCCGGAGAAAUCCGGAUUAAUACCCCAUAACACAGGGACUCCGCAUGGAGAUAUUUGUUAAAGAUUAAUCGGUAGAAGAUGGGCAUGCGUUCCAUUAGCCAGUUGGUGAGGUAACGGCUCACCAAAGCAACGAUGGAUAGGGGAACUGAGAGGUUUAUCCCCCACACUGGAACUGAGACACGGACCAGACUCCUACGGGAGGCAGCAGUGAGGAAUAUUGGUCAAUGGGCGAGAGCCUGAACCAGCCAAGUCGCGUGAAGGAAGACUGCCUUAUGGGUUGUAAACUUCUUUUAUAUGGGAAUAAAAAGAGUUACGUGUAACUUAUUGCAAGUACCAUAUGAAUAAGCAUCGGCUAACUCCGUGCCAGCAGCCGCGGUAAUACGGAGGAUGCGAGCGUUAUCCGGAUUUAUUGGGUUUAAAGGGUGCGCAGGCGGUUUAUUAAGUCAGCGGUGAAAUCUAGAGGCUCAACCUCUAAACUGCCGUUGAAACUGGUAGACUUGAGUAUAGAUGAAGUAGGCGGAAUUCGUUGUGUAGCGGUGAAAUGCAUAGAUAUAACGAGGAACCCCAAUUGCGUAGGCAGCUUACUAAACUAU
This 672-nucleotide ribosomal RNA is filed under the name uncultured bacterium. Its description in RNAcentral is "bacterial SSU rRNA". It matches the Rfam family "Bacterial small subunit ribosomal RNA", at positions 63 to 737 of the family's 1533-position model. The record is from RNAcentral.